Molecule: small RNA, 995 nt
Filed under: Arabidopsis thaliana (thale cress)
Lineage: Eukaryota; Viridiplantae; Streptophyta; Magnoliopsida; Brassicales; Brassicaceae
Description: ATSL275250
Source: RNAcentral
GAAAGAAUUGAUGAACCUUCGCCGUGGGUCCCACCCGCUGUAUAGGGACACCCCAUCUAGUCUUAACGAGCUUUGAUGCAUAAAAAAAUUCUAAAACAAUGCUUUAACAAGUAAUUUUGGGUCCGUAAUAUAGCCCAAAUCACAAAAAUGCGCGAAAAAGUAUUUAAAGGUCAAAAUUUGGGUUCGACAAAAAGUCAAUGGAAAAGUUCGUUUGUCGUGCUUCUUUCGUCGGAAGGCUCUCUUUGGGAUUUCCGAAAAGGUAGCACAUGCCUAGUUUGGCCUCACGGUAUAAAAGUUAUAGAGUUAUAAAGUUUUAACCAAAAAAAACAAAUUAAAAAAAAAGAGGGAUGCAACACGAGGACUUCCCGGGAGGUCUCCCAUCCUAAUACUACUCUCGCCCAAGCCCGCUUAACUGCGGAGUUCUGAUGGGAUCCGGUGUUUUAGUGCUGGUAUGAUCGCAUCCGUUAGUAUAUGCAAUGCAAUCUUAUAUAUUCUUUUUUGAAGACUUGAUGAACCAUUCUUCGUGGGUCCCACCCGCUGUGUAGGGAUACCCCAUCUAGUCUUAACGAGCUUUGCUGCAUUGAAAAAAUUCUAAAACAAUGCUUGAACAAGUAAUCUUUGGUCCGUAAUAUAUCCCAAAUCACAAAAAUACCCGAAAAAGUACUUAAAGGUCAAAAUUUGGGGUCGACAAAAAGUCAAUGGAAAAGUUCCUUUGUCCUGCUUCUUUCGUCGGAGGGCUCUCUUUGGGCUUUCCGAAAAGGUAUCACAUGUCAAGUUUGGCCUCACGGUAUAAAAGUUAUAGAGUCAUAAAGUUUUAACCAAAAAAAACAAAUUAAAAACAAAGAGGGAUACAACACGAGGACUUCUCGGGAGGUCACCCAUCCUAGUACUACUCUCGCCCAAGCACGCUUAACUAAAGGUCAAAAUUUGGAGUCGACAAAAAGUCAAUGGAUAUGUUCCAUUGUCCUGCUACUUUCAUCGUAGGGCUCUCUUUG